This 478-nucleotide ribosomal RNA is filed under the name uncultured bacterium. RNAcentral describes it as "bacterial SSU rRNA". It matches the Rfam family "Bacterial small subunit ribosomal RNA", at positions 29 to 506 of the family's 1533-position model. The record is from RNAcentral.
ACGAACGCUGGCGGCGUGCUUAACACAUGCAAGUCGAACGGGAUCCUGGCUUCGGUCAGGUGAGAGUGGCGAACGGGUGAGUAACGCGUAGGCAAUCUGCCCUUGGGUGGGGGAUAGCCCCGGGAAACCGGGAUUAAUACCGCAUGACGCGUCGGGGUCGCAUGGCCUUGGCGUUAAAGAUUUAUUGCCCAGGGAUGAGCCUGCGUUGCAUUAGCUAGUUGGUGAGGUAAUGGCUCACCAAGGCGACGAUGCAUAGCUGGUCUGAGAGGAUGAUCAGCCACACUGGGACUGAGAUACGGCCCAGACUCCUACGGGAGGCAGCAGUGAGGAAUAUUGGACAAUGGGCGCAAGCCUGAUCCAGCAACGCCGCGUGAACGAUGACGCUGCUCUGCAGUGUAAAGUUCUGUAAGGAGGGACGAAGACCGGGGUAUUGCCCCGGGGGGACGGUACCUCUUAAGUAAGCACCGGCUAACUCCGU